GACGAACGCUGGCGGCGUGCUUAACACAUGCAAGUCGAACGGUAAGGCCCUUCGGGGUACACUAGUGGCGAACGGGUGAGUAACACGUGGGUGAUCUGCCCUGCACUUCGGGAUAAGCCGGGGAAACUGUGUUUAAUACCGGACAGGACCACUGCCUGCAUGGGAUGUGGUGGAAAGCUUUUGCGGUGUGGGAUGGGCCCGGGGCCGAUCAGCUUGUUGGUGGGGUGAUGGUCUACAAAGGAGACGACGGGUAGCCGGCCUGAGAGGGUGAGCGGACACACUGGGACUGAGAUACGGCCCAGACUCCUACGGGAGGCAGCAGUGGGGAAUACUGUACAAUGGGCGAAAGACUGAUGCAGCGACGCCGCGUGAGGGAUGACGGCCUUCGGGUUGUAAACCUCUUUCAGCACCGACGAAGCGCAAGUGACGGUAGGUGCAGAAGAAGGACCGGCCAACUACGUGCCAGCCGCCGCCGUAA
Molecule: ribosomal RNA, 478 nt
Filed under: uncultured bacterium
Lineage: Bacteria
Description: partial 16S ribosomal RNA
Rfam family: Bacterial small subunit ribosomal RNA
Source: RNAcentral